This 745-nucleotide ribosomal RNA is filed under the name uncultured bacterium. RNAcentral describes it as "bacterial SSU rRNA". It matches the Rfam family "Bacterial small subunit ribosomal RNA", at positions 33 to 773 of the family's 1533-position model. The record is from RNAcentral.
ACGCUGGCGGCAGGCCUAACACAUGCAAGUCGAGCGGUAGAGAGAAGCUUGCUUCUCUUGAGAGCGGCGGACGGGUGAGUAAUGCCUAGGAAUCUGCCUGGUAGUGGGGGAUAACGUUCGGAAACGGACGCUAAUACCGCAUACGUCCUACGGGAGAAAGCAGGGGACCUUCGGGCCUUGCGCUAUCAGAUGAGCCUAGGUCGGAUCAGCUAGUUGGUGGGGUAAUGGCUCACCAAGGCGACGAUCCGUAACUGGUCUGAGAGGAUGAUCAGUCACACUGGAACUGAGACACGGUCCAGACUCCUACGGGAGGCAGCAGUGGGGAAUAUUGGACAAUGGGCGAAAGCCUGAUCCAGCCAUGCCGCGUGUGUGAAGAAGGUCUUCGGAUUGUAAAGCACUUUAAGUUGGGAGGAAGGGUUGUAGAUUAAUACUCUGCAAUUUUGACGUUACCGACAGAAUAAGCACCGGCUAACUCUGUGCCAGCAGCCGCGGUAAUACAGAGGGUGCAAGCGUUAAUCGGAAUUACUGGGCGUAAAGCGCGCGUAGGUGGUUAGUUAAGUUGGAUGUGAAAUCCCCGGGCUCAACCUGGGAACUGCAUUCAAAACUGACUGACUAGAGUAUGGUAGAGGGUGGUGGAAUUUCCUGUGUAGCGGUGAAAUGCGUAGAUAUAGGAAGGAACACCAGUGGCGAAGGCGACCACCUGGACUGAUACUGACACUGAGGUGCGAAAGCGUGGGGAGCAAAC